This 527-nucleotide ribosomal RNA is filed under the name Escherichia coli. RNAcentral's name for it is "bacterial SSU rRNA". It matches the Rfam family "Bacterial small subunit ribosomal RNA", at positions 153 to 675 of the family's 1533-position model. The record is from RNAcentral. Lineage: Bacteria; Pseudomonadati; Pseudomonadota; Gammaproteobacteria; Enterobacterales; Enterobacteriaceae.
GAAACGGUAGCUAAUACCGCAUAACGUCGCAAGACCAAAGAGGGGGACCUUAGGGCCUCUUGCCAUCGGAUGUGCCCAGAUGGGAUUAGCUAGUAGGUGGGGUAACGGCUCACCUAGGCGACGAUCCCUAGCUGGUCUGAGAGGAUGACCAGCCACACUGGAACUGAGACACGGUCCAGACUCCUACGGGAGGCAGCAGUGGGGAAUAUUGCACAAUGGGCGCAAGCCUGAUGCAGCCAUGCCGCGUGUAUGAAGAAGGCCUUCGGGUUGUAAAGUACUUUCAGCGGGGAGGAAGGGAGUAAAGUUAAUACCUUUGCUCAUUGACGUUACCCGCAGAAGAAGCACCGGCUAACUCCGUGCCAGCAGCCGCGGUAAUACGGAGGGUGCAAGCGUUAAUCGGAAUUACUGGGCGUAAAGCGCACGCAGGCGGUUUGUUAAGUCAGAUGUGAAAUCCCCGGGCUCAACCUGGGAACUGCAUCUGAUACUGGCAAGCUUGAGUCUCGUAGAGGGGGGUAGAAUUCCAGGUG